RNAcentral lists this transfer RNA (70 nucleotides) under Camelus bactrianus (Bactrian camel). It matches the Rfam family "tRNA". Rfam says of the family: Transfer RNA (tRNA) molecules are approximately 80 nucleotides in length. Their secondary structure includes four short double-helical elements and three loops (D, anti-codon, and T loops). RNAcentral also lists the same sequence under 2 other names. Lineage: Eukaryota; Metazoa; Chordata; Mammalia; Artiodactyla; Camelidae. The record is from Rfam by way of RNAcentral.
GGGACUAGCUCAAUGGUAGAGCGCAUGCCUAGCAUACAUGAGAUCCUGGAUUCAAUCCUCAGUACUUCCA